UAGGGAAUAUUGGGCAAUGGAGGCAACUCUGACCCAGCCAUGCCGCGUGCAGGAAGAAGGCGUUAUGCGUUGUAAACUGCUUUUAUAUGGGAAGAAAAAGGCUAUGCGUAGCAAAUUGACGGUACCAUAUGAAUAAGCACCGGCUAACUCCGUGCCAGCAGCCGCGGUAAUACGGAGGGUGCAAGCGUUGUCCGGAUUUAUUGGGUUUAAAGGGUGCGUAGGCGGCUUUUUAAGUCAGCGGUGAAAGACUGUCGCUCAACGACGGAACUGCCGUUGAUACUGAUUAGCUUGAGUAUGAUUGAGGCAGCCGGAAUGGAUAGUGUAGCGGUGAAAUGCAUAGAUAUUAUCCAGAACGCCAAUAGCGUAGGCAGGUUGCUAAGUCAUUACUGACGCUGAGGCACGAGAGUGCGGGGAUCAAACA
Molecule: ribosomal RNA, 421 nt
Filed under: uncultured bacterium
Lineage: Bacteria
Description: bacterial SSU rRNA
Rfam family: Bacterial small subunit ribosomal RNA
Source: RNAcentral